CCUACGGGUGGCUGCAGUGGGGAAUAUUGCACAAUGGGGGAAACCCUGAUGCAGCGACGCCGCGUGAGUGAAGAAGUAAUUCGUUACGGAAAGCUCUAUCAGCAGGGAAGAAACACUGACCUUACGGUCAGCAGACGGUACCUGAGUAAGAAGCCCCGGCUAACUACGUGCCAGCAGCCGAGGUAAUACGUAGGGGGCAAGCGUUAUCCGGAUUUACUGGGUGUAAAGGGAGCGUAGACGGUGCGACAAGGCUGGAGUGAAAUGCCGCAGCUUAACUGCGGAGCUGCUGUGGAAACUGGCGAACGAGAGUGCGGGAGGGGUAAGCAGAAUUCCUAGUGUAGCGGUGCAAUGCGUAGAUAUUAGGAGGAACACCGGUGGCGAAGGCGGCUUACUGGACCGUAACUGACGUUGAGGCUCGAAAGCGUGGGGAGCAAACAGGAUUAGAUACCCGAGUAGUC
Molecule: ribosomal RNA, 458 nt
Filed under: uncultured bacterium
Lineage: Bacteria
Description: partial 16S ribosomal RNA
Rfam family: Bacterial small subunit ribosomal RNA
Source: RNAcentral